This 958-nucleotide long non-coding RNA is filed under the name Volvox carteri. RNAcentral's name for it is "long non-coding RNA (VCAR_LNC002541)". The record is from RNAcentral. Lineage: Eukaryota; Viridiplantae; Chlorophyta; Chlorophyceae; Chlamydomonadales; Volvocaceae.
UCACCCACAUGACCGACGUCACCCGCAUCACCGACGUCACCCGCAUCACCGACGUCACCCGCACCACGGACGUCACCCGCAUCACGGACGUCACCCGCAUCAUGGACGUCACCCGCAUCACGGACGUCACCCGCAUCACGGAAGUCAUCCGCAUCACGGACGUCACCCACAUCACUGACAUCACCCGCACCACGGACAUCACCCGCAUCACCGACGUCACCCGCACCACGGACGUCACCCGCACCACGGACGUCACCCGCAUCAUGGAUGUCACCCGCAUCACCGACGUCACCUGCACCAUGGACGUCACCCGCAUCACCGAUGUCACCCGCACCACGGACGUCACCCGCAUCACCGACGUCACCUGCAUCACGGAUGUCACCCGCAUCACGGACCCCGCAUCACGGCUGCACCACGGACGUCACCUGCACCAAGGACGUCACCUGCAUCACCGACGUCACCCGCACCACGGACGUCACCCGCACCACGGACGUCACCCACAUGACCGGCAUCACCCUCAUCACGGACGUGACCCACAUCACCGACGUCACCCACAUCACGCACGUCACCCACAUCACGGACGUCACCGGCACCACGGACGUCACCCGCAUCACGGACGUCACCAGCAUCACGGACGUCACCCGCACCACGGACGUCACCCGCAUCACCGACGUCACCUGCACCACGGACGUCACCCACAUCACGGACGUCACCCGCAUCAUGGACGUCACCCGCAUCACGGACGUCACCCGCACCACGGACGUCACCCACAUCACCGACGUCACCCGCAUCACGGAUGUCACCCGCACCACGGACGUCACCCGCACCACGGACGUCACCUGCAUCACGGACGUCACCCGCAUCACGGACGUCACCCGCAUCACGGAUGUCACCCGCACCACGGACGUCACCCACAUCACCGACGUCACCCGCAUCACGGACGUCACCCGCAUCANNN